This 759-nucleotide ribosomal RNA is filed under the name uncultured Bacteroides sp. Its description in RNAcentral is "bacterial SSU rRNA". It matches the Rfam family "Bacterial small subunit ribosomal RNA", at positions 415 to 1177 of the family's 1533-position model. Lineage: Bacteria; Pseudomonadati; Bacteroidota; Bacteroidia; Bacteroidales; Bacteroidaceae. The record is from RNAcentral.
CCNUAUGGGUUGUAAACUUNUUUUAUAAGGGAAUAAAGUGAGGGACGUGUCCCUUUUUGUAUGUACCUUAUGAAUAAGGAUCGGCUAACUCCGUGCCAGCAGCCGCGGUAAUACGGAGGAUCCAAGCGUUAUCCGGAUUUAUUGGGUUUAAAGGGAGCGUAGGUUGACAUAUAAGUCAGCUGUGAAAGUUUACGGCUCAACCGUGAAAUUGCAGUUGAUACUGUAUGUCUUGAGUGUACAAGAGGUGGGCGGAAUUCGUGGUGUAGCGGUGAAAUGCUUAGAUAUCACGAAGAACUCCAAUUGCGAAGGCAGCUCACUGGGGUACAACUGACACUGGGGCUCGAAAGUGUGGGUAUCAAACAGGAUUAGAUACCCUGGUAGUCCACACAGUAAACGAUGAAUACUCGCUGUUUGCGAUAUACAGUAAGCGGCCAAGCGAAAGCAUUAAGUAUUCCACCUGGGGAGUACGCCGGCAACGGUGAGACUCAAAGGAAUUGACGGGGGCCCGCACAAGCGGAGGAACAUGUGGUUUAAUUCGAUGAUACGCGAGGAACCUUACCCGGGCUUGAAUUGCAGAGGAAUAUAGUUGAAAGAUUAUCGCCGCAAGGUCUCUGUGAAGGUGCUGCAUGGUUGUCGUCAGCUCGUGCCGUGAGGUGUCGGCUUAAGUGCCAUAACGAGCGCAACCCUUAUCAUUAGUUACUAACAGGUCAUGCUGAGGACUCUAGUGAGACUGCCGUCGUAAGAUGUGAGGAANGUGGA